This 254-nucleotide ribosomal RNA is filed under the name uncultured bacterium. RNAcentral describes it as "partial 16S ribosomal RNA". It matches the Rfam family "Bacterial small subunit ribosomal RNA", at positions 524 to 776 of the family's 1533-position model. The record is from RNAcentral.
UACGUAGGGUGCGAGCGUUGUCCGGAAUUAUUGGGCGUAAAGAGCUCGUAGGCGGUGUGUCACGUCGGCCGUGAAAACCUGCAGCUUAACUGUGGGCGUGCGGUGGAUACGGGCAUCACUGGAGUUCGGCAGGGGAGACUGGAAUUCCUGGUGUAGCGGUGAAAUGCGCAGAUAUCGGGAAGAACACCCGUGGCGAAGGCGGCUCUCUGGGACGGUACUGACGCUGAGACGCGAAAGCGUGGGGAGCGAACAGG